UCUCCGUAGGUGAACCUGCGGAGGGAUCAUUACAGAGUUCAUGCCCUACCGGGUAGAUCUCCCACCCUAUGUUAUUAUUACUUUGUUGCUUUGGCGGGCCGUUAGGCUCCGGCCCGACUACCGGCCCCGGCUGGUAAGCGCCCGCCAGAGGACCCAAAACCCUGAAUAUUAGUGUCGUCUGAGUACUAUAUAAUAGCUAAAACUUUCAACAACGGACCUCUUGGUUCUG
Molecule: unclassified non-coding RNA, 229 nt
Filed under: plant metagenome
Description: partial contains small subunit ribosomal RNA, internal transcribed spacer 1, and 5.8S ribosomal RNA
Source: RNAcentral